GCAAAUUUUUUCAACUGUCUCUCUAUAUUCAGAUCUCCGUUGAUCCACCGCCGUAUCGGUAAAUCAUGUCGUACGCAUAUCUCUUCAAGUAUAUUAUCAUCGGCGAUACUGGAGUUGGAAAGUCAUGUCUACUUUUGCAAUUUACGGACAAACGGUUUCAACCAGUUCAUGACCUGACCAUCGGGGUUGAAUUUGGGGCUCGAAUGAUCACAAUCGACAACAAACCAAUUAAACUACAGAUCUGGGACACGGCUGGUCAAGAAUCAUUCAGAUCCAUCACAAGGUCAUAUUACAGAGGGGCUGCGGGCGCAUUACUUGUUUAUGAUAUUACAAGGAGGGAAACUUUUAAUCACCUUGCUAGUUGGUUAGAAGAUGCAAGACAGCAUGCAAAUGCAAACAUGACCAUAAUGCUGAUUGGAAACAAGUGUGAUCUGGCUCACAGAAGGGCUGUAAGCACCGAGGAAGGCGAACAAUUUGCCAAGGAAAAUGGGUUGAUAUUUAUGGAGGCCUCUGCCAAAACAGCUCAGAAUGUUGAAGAGGCUUUUAUCAGAACAGCCUCAACAAUUUAUAAGAAAAUACAGGAUGGAGUGUUUGAUGUAUCAAAUGAGUCCUAUGGAAUAAAAGUUGGAUAUGGAGGUAUUCCGGGGCCUUCAGGUGGAAGAGACGGAGCUGCUUCACAAGGAGGGGGUUGUUGUACUUGAAAAUGGACAUUUAUUGUUCGCAAACCUAUUAUGUUCCUAUGGUUGUUUAUUUGUAGUUUGGUAUUGCUCUUUAGUUUAUUCCUUUUAAUGAAAGGAUAAUAUAUGUGCAAAAAUAAGUAAAUUUGGUACAUAAAAGACAUUCUUUUUCUUU
RNAcentral lists this unclassified non-coding RNA (852 nucleotides) under Hevea brasiliensis (rubber tree). The record is from RNAcentral. Lineage: Eukaryota; Viridiplantae; Streptophyta; Magnoliopsida; Malpighiales; Euphorbiaceae.